RNAcentral lists this ribosomal RNA (465 nucleotides) under uncultured Klebsiella sp. RNAcentral describes it as "bacterial SSU rRNA". It matches the Rfam family "Bacterial small subunit ribosomal RNA", at positions 338 to 795 of the family's 1533-position model. Lineage: Bacteria; Pseudomonadati; Pseudomonadota; Gammaproteobacteria; Enterobacterales; Enterobacteriaceae. The record is from RNAcentral.
CCUACGGGUGGCAGCAGUGGGGAAUAUUGCACAAUGGGCGCAAGCCUGAUGCAGCCAUGCCGCGUGUGUGAAGAAGGCCUUCGGGUUGUAAAGCACUUUCAGCGGGGAGGAAGGCGGUGAGGUUAAUAACCUCAUCGAUUGACGUUACCCGCAGAAGAAGCACCGGCUAACUCCGUGCCAGCAGCCGCGGUAAUGCGGAGGGUGCAAGCGUUAAUCGGAAUUACUGGGCGUAAAGCGCACGCAGGCGGUCUGUCAAGUCGGAUGUGAAAUCCCCGGGCUCAACCUGGGAACUGCAUUCGAAACUGGCAGGCUAGAGGCUUGUAGAGGGGGGUAGAAUUCCAGGUGUAGCGGUGAAAUGCGUAGAGAUCUGGGGGAAUACCGGUGGCGAAGGCGGCCCCCUGGACAAAGACUGACGCUCAGGUGCGAAAGCGUGGGGAGCAAACAGGAUUAGAUACCCCUGUAGUC